This is a long non-coding RNA of Homo sapiens (human), 851 nucleotides long. Ensembl annotates it as long intergenic non-protein coding RNA 1837. The record is from Ensembl. NCBI's taxonomy places the organism in Eukaryota, Metazoa, Chordata, Mammalia, Primates, Hominidae.
AGGCAGUUGAACGAUAUGGACAGGUGAAGGCUCCGUGGGGACUGGCCCAGCUCGCGGAGAGCUGGAGGGGGUAAUGUCAUUGCAUGUACACAGUUUAAGACAGAGCAUCUGGUGAUUCUCGGACCUUCAAGCAAGUGUCACAUCUCAGGUGAACCUUGGCAGUUUUAAGAUGAACAAAGUAAUCAAAGCAAAAAUGUCAAAUAAUAAUAAUAAUAAUGAUAUCAGAAGAAUGUCCAGUGCCAUGGUUGGAUUCCCAGAAGGCAGCAUCUGCUCAUGCCAUCAACAACAUGGUGCCAUUUCAGUCAUCCUCUUUUUGUCCCAAAGACAGAAAAAAAAUAGAAAAAAGAAAGAGAAAAAGACACCACGAACCGUCUAUCCUCCUGGGUGUGAGGUUUGGAGGGCCUCUCGUCAAAACUUUGGAGGGCUCUGUCAGUUUGAAAAGAACAUGACCUUUAAAUUGUAUCAGUAUGUUUGCUGGUGCAUAAGGGAGAGGAAAAGGUUCGUCCUGAUGGAAAACCACUCAGAAGCCAAGGAGUAAUUCAGAGGGAACCAGCCCAGGAAGAAUCAAGAAAGCUGCCCACAGUGUCAUUCUUCAGCUGAGAAAAGAGAGAGUUGACUAACUCCUCGGACUGGAGUGAGGACUCACAGAGGUGGUAGGACACUAACCAUCUAUGUCUCCAUUUCCUGGGUUGUAACACUGAGGUAGAACAUCUCACUGUCCCAUGGAGGAUUAUGUUAUUUUUGGAGAUUAAUAAUUUUGGAGGAAGAAAGGUGGCUUCCUGAAAAGGAAGUCACAUGAAGAAGCAACUUACACGGUGGUCUCUUUAAAUAAACAUAUUGUGACUAGACAA